RNAcentral lists this ribosomal RNA (280 nucleotides) under Dardanus insignis. RNAcentral's name for it is "partial 12S ribosomal RNA". Lineage: Eukaryota; Metazoa; Arthropoda; Malacostraca; Decapoda; Diogenidae. The record is from RNAcentral.
UAAACGAUAAACCACGCAGUAUCUUACCUUUUUCUGUCGUUUGUAUACCGUCAUUAAGAUAACUUUUAAAAAAUAAGUURUUACAAUAAAUAAUUUUUAARAUAUUAGAUCAAGGUGCAGCAUAUAAAAAGGUYAAAAUGGGUUACAAUAAAAYACCUUUAAAACGGAUAUUCCURUGAAAUUAGUACUAGAAGGGGGACUUAAAAGUAAAAAUAUUUCAAUAAGAAAUUUUGAAUCUAGCACUAAGUCAUGUACMUAUCSCCCGUCGCUCGCGGGAAAA